GAUGAACGCUGGCGGCGUGCCUAAUACAUGCAAGUCGAGCGAACAGAUAAGGAGCUUGCUCCUUUGACGUUAGCGGCGGACGGGUGAGUAACACGUGGGUAACCUACCUAUAAGACUGGAAUAACUCCGGGAAACCGGGGCUAAUGCCGGAUAACAUUUAGAACCGCAUGGUUCUAAAGUGAAAGAUGGUUUUGCUAUCACUUAUAGAUGGACCCGCGCCGUAUUAGCUAGUUGGUACGGUAACGGCUUACCAAGGCAACGAUACGUAGCCGACCUGAGAGGGUGAUCGGCCACACUGGAACUGAGACACGGUCCAGACUCCUACGGGAGGCAGCAGUAGGGAAUGGUCCGCAAUGGGCGAAAGCCUGACGGAGCAACGCCGCGUGAGUGAUGAAGGUCUUCGGAUCGUAAAACUCUGUUAUUAGGGAAGAACAAAUGUGGAAGUAACUGUGCACGUCUUGACGGUACCUAAUCAGAAAGCCACGGCUAACUACGUG
This 497-nucleotide ribosomal RNA is filed under the name uncultured bacterium. RNAcentral describes it as "partial 16S ribosomal RNA". It matches the Rfam family "Bacterial small subunit ribosomal RNA", at positions 28 to 507 of the family's 1533-position model. The record is from RNAcentral.